CCUGGUGAAAUUAGCGCUGUGGCACCACCCGAUCCCAUCCCGAACUCGGAAGUGAAACGCAGCUGCGCCGAUGGUAGUGUGGCUCAAGCCAUGCGAGAGU
This 100-nucleotide ribosomal RNA is filed under the name Stenotrophomonas maltophilia. Lineage: Bacteria; Pseudomonadati; Pseudomonadota; Gammaproteobacteria; Lysobacterales; Lysobacteraceae. The record is from RNAcentral.